This 1039-nucleotide ribosomal RNA is filed under the name uncultured bacterium. RNAcentral describes it as "bacterial SSU rRNA". It matches the Rfam family "Bacterial small subunit ribosomal RNA", at positions 8 to 1020 of the family's 1533-position model. The record is from RNAcentral.
AGAGUUUGAUCAUGGCUCAGAACGAACGCUGGCGGCGUGCUUAACGCAUGCAAGUCAAACGGGAAAGUCCUCUUCGGAGGGCGAGUACAGUGGCGAACGGGUGAGUAACACGUGGGCAAUCUGCCCUUUGGACCGGGAUAACUCGCCGAAAGGCGGGCUAAUACCGGAUAAGACCACGCUCCCCAUGGGGAAAGUGGGAAAAGGUGGCCUCUUCUUGAAAGCUAUCACCGGAGGAUGAGCCCGCGGCCUAUUAGCUUGUUGGUGGGGUAACGGCUCACCAAGGCGACGAUGGGUAGCCGGCCUGAGAGGGUGAACGGUCACACUGGCACUGAGACACGGGCCAGACUCCUACGGGAGGCAGCAGUGGGGAAUUUUGCGCAAUGGGGGAAACCCUGACGCAGCAACGCCGCGUGAGUGAUGAAGGCCUUCGGGUCGUAAAGCUCUUUUAGUGGGGAAGAAACAUCCUGAGACGAAUACUCUCAGGACUUGACGGUACCCACAGAAAAAGUUCCGGCUAACUACGUGCCAGCAGCCGCGGUAAUACGUAGGGAGCGAGCGUUGUUCGGAAUUAUUGGGCGUAAAGAGCGCGUAGGCGGCAUGGCAAGUCCGAUGUGAAAUCCCAGAGCUCAACUUUGGAACUGCGUCGGAAACUGCCAGGCUAGAGUGCGGGAGAGGAGAGUGGAAUUCCCAGUGUAGAGGUGAAAUUCGUAGAUAUUGGGAGGAACACCGGUGGCGAAGGCGGCUCUCUGGACCGCAACUGACGCUGAGGCGCGAAAGCUAGGGGAGCAAACGGGAUUAGAUACCCCGGUAGUCCUAGCCGUAAACGAUGGGCACUAGGUGUUGGAGGUAUUGACCCCUUCAGUGUCGUAGCUAACGCAUUAAGUGCCCCGCCUGGGGAGUACGGUCGCAAGACUAAACUCAAAGGGAAUUGACGGGGGCCCGCACAAGCGGUGGAGCAUGUGGUUUAAUUCGACGCAACGCGAAGAACCUUACCUGGGUUUGACAUCCCCUGACAACAGCAGAGAUGCUGUCCCUUCGG